This 492-nucleotide ribosomal RNA is filed under the name uncultured bacterium. RNAcentral's name for it is "partial 16S ribosomal RNA". It matches the Rfam family "Bacterial small subunit ribosomal RNA", at positions 29 to 507 of the family's 1533-position model. The record is from RNAcentral.
AGUGAACGCUGGCGGUAGGCCUAACACAUGCAAGUCGAACGGCAGCACAGUAAGAGCUUGCUCUUACGGGUGGCGAGUGGCGGAAGGGUGAGGAAUACAUCGGAAUCUACUUUUUCGUGGGGGAUAACGUAGGGAAAUUUACGCUAAUACCGCAUACGACCUACGGGUGAAAGCAGGGGAUCUUCGGACCUUGCGCGAUUGAAUGAGCCGAUGUCGGAUUAGCUAGUUGGCGGGGUAAAGGCCCACCAAGGCGACGAUCCGUAGCUGGUCUGAGAGGAUGAUCAGCCACACUGGAACUGAGACACGGUCCAGACUCCUACAGGAGGCAGCAGUGGGGAAUAUUGGACAAUGGGCGCAAGCCUGAUCCAGCCAUACCGCGUGGGUGAAGAAGGCCUUCGGGUUGUAAAGCCCUUUUGUUGGGAAAGAAAAGCAGCAGGUUAAUACCCCGCUGUUCUGACGGUACCCAAAGAAUAAGCACCGGCUAACUUCGUG